UCAAGGGCAGUUAUCAUUGCCAAAAAAGCAAAUGAGUUAAUUUUCUAGCUAGAUCAGAUUAGGCUGUGUAGCAACUUCCAGAGCCUGGCAAAUUUAGCAGCAGCUGUUGCUGCUGCAAUACAGCGUGAUUUAAUAUUGAGUGAGAGAAUAAACCUUGCAAGCUCUAGACUGCAGAGGAUUCAAAAGCAGUUGUUUUUGGUAAAUAGAAACAAGCAGACACCAGCCACCUCCGUGACAGGAUACUCCUAUUGCACCAGGGGAAAAAAUAACACAGGCCAUUUGACUUAGACUUGAGGACAAAAUGUAAAUCAAUCAUGUUAAAAGGAUCCCAUUGGACCAAACAGAAAAUGGCUCCCGGAUCCACUUUAUGUUCAGUUUUAUGCAUGUGCUAAUUCUUGAUGCUCUUGAGAAAGAUGCAAGAUGGAUAGAUGGAAAUGAUGCAUCUUCUGAAAACAAUGUUAAAGGAAUUGUUCUUUUUCCAAGCCAUAAAUUACCCUGUAUCAUUGCAUUUUGAUGAUGGUGUGCAGGUUUUUGAAUCAUUAGGGGCUGCACAAAAUAAUCAUUAAUAUUUGUAAUACA
Molecule: long non-coding RNA, 579 nt
Organism: Alligator sinensis (Chinese alligator)
Lineage: Eukaryota; Metazoa; Chordata; Crocodylia; Alligatoridae
Exons: 3
Source: RefSeq, a predicted model, not a curated record